CUUUUCACAUCUUCAAAUUUCUUCCAUUUAUAUUUUUCAUUGUCAGUUUCCAGUGCAGCUUAACUCUGAGUGUGCUGAAGCUUGAAAUGUAGCUUCCGAUUUAUAAUAGCGACAGGACAUGCAGCAAAUGUCAACAAAUCCCCUGUCACCCAGGCAAGGAGGAAAUGUGAGAGGUGCUGCUUUGGAUCCAUGUCUGAGAUACGACCUUGAAAGGGCAAGAAAGAGCUUAAUUUUUGUUAAUGAAGCUCUAACUAAAAUGUGUCAUGAACAGCUGAG
Molecule: long non-coding RNA, 276 nt
Filed under: Parus major (Great Tit)
Lineage: Eukaryota; Metazoa; Chordata; Aves; Passeriformes; Paridae
Description: lncRNA (ENSPMJG00000011658.1)
Source: RNAcentral